GGUAUGACUCUCCAAAGAGGAGGAGAUCGACAACUUUCACUCAUAGCAUAGAUCUGAUACCUCUGACAACAAAAAUGAGGUGCUAAGCAGAAAAUGCUGCGCAGGCAUGUCUAAUGGACAGAUGACACUGAUGUUACUCUCAAGAAAGGAUGAGAGAUCAGGGAAAAGACACUAUGAAAUCUUUAAUCAGGGACCUGAGUUAUUGUAAGAGAUCAUUGACAUCCAGGCAAAGAUUAUGUUCCUGACAAUACCAGGAUGGACAUUAAGGGCUGACUACCCUAGAUGUAGUUAAGUGUUAAAACCAUUUUUAACCAUUACUCCUGAUACCCUGUCUUUGUGGGUAAUAUCUUAAUAAGAACAAUUUCUUGCUCUCUCCCAACAGUCCCAGAAUUCAGAUGGCCGCUGGAUUCGGGGUCUAUUGGCUUCCCUUUCAUAUACUGGAAAACGUUCUGGAAUAUGGAAGUAAGACCUCAGGAGCAAACUGAGGACUCUAGGUUUGACAAUUUCUGUGGACGCGCAGUCAUUGUCUCUCCUAGGUGGAAAAAAUUAUUACACAAAUGCAUGGAGCAAGGAAAAAGUAUAAUCUAAGUUCUACCUUUUUGGAGUAUGGAUUGAAAACAUGACACAAUAGGCACAGAUAAGCUUAUAGAAAGAGCACAUUGAAUAUUAUACACUGACAACAAGGAAUGAAAAAGCUAUGUCAAAUUCUAUUGGUACAAGAAACUGUAGAAAUUGUUUCUACGUGAAAAACAACUUAAGCUUCUAUCUACCCAAACAUUGGUUUGGUGGAAUGAAUUUUGCUAAUCUUGGUAAUGUUAUAUGCUUGGUUAUCAUAUUGAUGGGUUUAUUUGUACAAGCAGAGGUUUAAAUAAGGAUGAUAUGAGAAAUAUGCAGUCAGAACUUGAAAUAUUACUUCAUUAUCACCAUCAUGGUUAUUUAAGCUACAAUUCAGAAUGUAAAGUGUAUGGGAAUAUUGGUAAUGUUAUAUGCUUGGUUAUCAUAUUGAUGGGUUUAUUUGUACAAACAGAGAUUUAAAUAAGGAUGAUAUGAGAAAUAUGCAGUCAGAACUUGAAAUAUUACUUCAUUAUCACCAUCAUGGUUAUUUAAGUUACAAAUCAGAAUGUAAAGUGUAUGGGAAUAUUGGUAUUUGUUAAAAAUUGCACUAUGAUGUAUUGAUGUUUUUGCAAGGCCUGUAAUGGUGCAAAAUUAUGUUCAUAUGCAAGG
Molecule: long non-coding RNA, 1224 nt
Filed under: Monodelphis domestica (gray short-tailed opossum)
Lineage: Eukaryota; Metazoa; Chordata; Mammalia; Didelphimorphia; Didelphidae
Description: lncRNA (ENSMODG00000047391.1)
Source: RNAcentral